RNAcentral lists this ribosomal RNA (307 nucleotides) under uncultured bacterium. Its description in RNAcentral is "bacterial SSU rRNA". It matches the Rfam family "Bacterial small subunit ribosomal RNA", at positions 192 to 507 of the family's 1533-position model. The record is from RNAcentral.
GGCCGCGGGAAUUCGAUUAGCAAUUCGCUUUAGGAGGAGCCCGCGGCUGAUUAGCUAGUUGGUGAGGUAAUGGCUCACCAAGGCUACGAUCAGUAUCCGGUCUGAGAGGACGGUCGGACACACUGGAACUGAGACACGGUCCAGACUCCUACGGGAGGCAGCAGUGGGGAAUUUUUCGCAAUGGGGGCAACCCUGACGAAGCAACGCCGCGUGGGUGAUGAAGUCUCUUGGGACGUAAAACCCUUUCGACGGGGAAGAAACCGCAAGGUUGACGGUACCCGUAGAAGAAGCCCCGGCUAACUCCGUG